RNAcentral lists this ribosomal RNA (497 nucleotides) under uncultured bacterium. Its description in RNAcentral is "partial 16S ribosomal RNA". It matches the Rfam family "Bacterial small subunit ribosomal RNA", at positions 28 to 507 of the family's 1533-position model. The record is from RNAcentral.
GAUGAACGCUGGCGGCGUGCCUAAUACAUGCAAGUCGAACGCAUAGCGAAAGGUGCUUGCACCUUUCAAGUGAGUGGCGAACGGGUGAGUAACACGUGGACAACCUGCCUCAAGGCUGGGGAUAACAUUUGGAAACAGAUGCUAAUACCGAAUAAAACUUAGUGUCGCAUGACACAAAGUUAAAAGGCGCUUCGGCGUCACCUAGAGAUGGAUCCGCGGUGCAUUAGUUAGUUGGUGGGGUAAAGGCCUACCAAGACAAUGAUGCAUAGCCGAGUUGAGAGACUGAUCGGCCACAUUGGGACUGAGACACGGCCCAAACUCCUACGGGAGGCUGCAGUAGGGAAUCUUCCACAAUGGGCGAAAGCCUGAUGGAGCAACGCCGCGUGUGUGAUGAAGGCUUUCGGGUCGUAAAGCACUGUUGUCUGGGAAGAACAGCUAGAAUAGGAAAUGAUUUUAGUUUGACGGUACCAUACCAGAAAGGGACGGCUAAAUACGUG